Molecule: transfer RNA, 67 nt
Filed under: bacterium
Lineage: Bacteria
Description: tRNA-OTHER
Source: RNAcentral
GGGCCCGGAAUGGUUCGCGGCCUGGUUUGACAUCAGAGCUUCCGGGGUUCGAUUCCCCGCGGGUCCA